GACGAACGCUGGCGGCGUGGAUUAGGCAUGCAAGUCGAACGGUAUCAUCCUUUCGGGGGUGAGAGAGUGGCGAACUGGUGAGUAACACGUAGGUUAUCUACCCUCAAGACGGGGACAACCCAGGGAAACUUGGGCUAAUACCGGAUGUGAGCAACUUUUAGUUGUUUGAAAGGUGGCGUAAGCUGUCGCUUGGGGAUGAGCCUGCGUCCUAUUAGUUAGUUGGUGAGGUAACGGCUCACCUAGGCAAUGAUAGGUAGGCGGCCUUAACGGGUGGUCGCCCACACUGGGAUUGAGAUACGGCCCAGACUCCUACGGGAGGCAGCAGUCGAGAAUAGUCUACAAUGGUCGGAAGACUGAUAGUGCGACGCCGCGUGAACGAUGAAUCCCUUCGGGGUUAAAGUUCUUUUAUAUGUGAGCAGUGCUUCUUAUAUUAACAGUAUGGGGAAGAGAUAUUAGCAUAUGAAUAAGCAACGGCUAACUCCGUGCCCAGCAGCCGCGGUAAACU
Molecule: ribosomal RNA, 505 nt
Filed under: uncultured bacterium
Lineage: Bacteria
Description: bacterial SSU rRNA
Rfam family: Bacterial small subunit ribosomal RNA
Source: RNAcentral